UGGGGAAUAUUGCACAAUGGGCGCAAGCCUGAUGCAGCCAUGCCGCGUGUAUGAAGAAGGCCUUCGGGUUGUAAAGUACUUUCAGCGGGGAGGAAGGCGAUAAGGUUAAUAACCUUGUCGAUUGACGUUACCCGCAGAAGAAGCACCGACUAACUCCGUGCCAGCAGCCGCGGUAAUACGGAGGGUGCAAGCGUUAAUCGGAAUUACUGGGCGUAAAGCGCACGCAGGCGGUCUGUCAAGUCGGAUGUGAAAUCCCCGGGCUCAACCUGGGAACUGCAUUCGAAACUGGCAGGCUAGAGUCUUGUAGAGGGGGGUAGAAUUCCAGGUGUAGCGGUGAAAUGCGUAGAGAUCUGGAGGAAUACCGGUGGCGAAGGCGGCCCCCUGGACAAAGACUGACGCUCAGGUGCGAAAGCGUGGGGAGCAAACA
RNAcentral lists this ribosomal RNA (427 nucleotides) under uncultured bacterium. RNAcentral's name for it is "partial 16S ribosomal RNA". It matches the Rfam family "Bacterial small subunit ribosomal RNA", at positions 355 to 774 of the family's 1533-position model. The record is from RNAcentral.